This is a long non-coding RNA of Dromaius novaehollandiae (emu), 1595 nucleotides long. RefSeq lists it as uncharacterized. NCBI's taxonomy places the organism in Eukaryota, Metazoa, Chordata, Aves, Casuariiformes, Dromaiidae. The record is from RefSeq and is a predicted model, not a curated record. The transcript has 4 exons.
AGACAGCCAGCGCGCGCGUUUGGCAGCGUUCUGUUGCGGCUGUCUGCUGGUGCCUCUGAGGUGUUGGCCAUCUAAGGCAGGAGACCGAGAUCCUGGGACAGCAGUUUUGAAGACUGAUCGUUUGCCUGCUCCAGCCAGAUCCUUACUUCAGAUUGCUUGAAAUAAAUUAGCAGGAGGCAAAAUGGACCAUAAACAGCUUACAGGAGGCUGAGGUACAGGAAAUGAUCUUCAACACAGAUGGCCUUCCUGCUCCAGGAUCUCCAAGGAAAAAUGAUGUUUCAGUAAUGGGAUCUUGAAGUACCCCCAGGAGCGGCAGGUGAUGAACGGGCAGACAGCCAGUCCUGACAAAGUAGUGGUAGGAGAUGGUGGUACCAGGGCUUCGGCGUGCUCUUUGGUUCACAGCUCCUUCCAGGUAGCCUGAACUGUUGAAUGCUACAGAGCUUCCAGAGGUGGCUUGAGCAUGACCAUCUUGAAAUGCAAGAGGAGAAAAAACUUAGCUGUCUGAUGUACAGAUGUAGGUAACGUGGUCUUGGGUAAGAUAUCUGAUCUUUGCACCAGCAAAUAUGUGCAUCUUUAAGCAUGUUCAGCAGAUCUGCUCAUCCCUGUUUGUACAGUGCCUAGGAUCAGAGAGCUCUAAUACAUUGAAAUGUCCUGCUACUUACAGAAUUCAAACAGUUUCCCCGUUACACUGUCAGAACGAAGGGGAUGUGUUUGGUGAGGGUGGGCAAACCCAGGCUCACUCUCGUGGUGGCUGCAGAACCAGGUGGCCUGGGAAGGUAUUUAUUCUGACUUUUUGUGAGCCAUCUUGGAUCUGGAUUCUGUGUUAGUCUGCCACAAUGCCUCAGCUAACAAGCUUUGCUGAGAGUUAGACGUAUAUCUUGAAUGUAUUCCUGGUUAAACAUGACAAUACUGUUAGUAAUUCCUGAUAGGUUGAAGCUAUUACCUGUGGACUUACUAACUUUAGUCUUGGCUAGGUGUAGAGGACCGGUUCUCUACAUGCAGUUUUGUCUCGACACUGCUGCUGCUGCCAAGCCGCUGCUGCCAAGGCGUGUGGGGCAAUGCUGUGCCGGUGCCCCUGGGAGCCGUCCGCGAGGUAACAACCUCGUGCACCUGCACGAGGUAAAAAGGGCGCGAAAAGGGCAGAAGGUCAUCUCUAGGGCACGAACCGCACGUACUCAUUUGCCAUCUGCGCAUGAGCAGGAGACCCCCAGAUGCCCCAGCCCGUUUCUGGAAGGUUCCGAGAGGGCGGACUGCGCGUGACAGUUAAUCUGCAUGGGGCGUGAGGAAGCACCUCCCGGAGGUGGGGCAAGAACCUACAAAAACUGCAGACGGCGUGAGUAGAGGGGGGCCUUGCUUGCGACGACUGAGGAACUGGAGCGGAGUCAGCGGAACCAGACGGGAGCUUCCUGCCGCUGCCCCCCCGCGCUGCCGAGACUCCCAAGAGAAGAGGACCAACAGGACGCCACUGGAUCCACGGGUGGUGAUACCUAUCUUUCUCUCUCUCUCUCUGUCUUGUCCUUUUCCUCUUUUUUCCCUAAACGUGUGAUGCGGGACGUGUCUAGUUAGUUGAUUCCUUAAUAAAUCUUAAAAUUGGU